This 85-nucleotide transfer RNA is filed under the name Myotis brandtii (Brandt's bat). It matches the Rfam family "tRNA". Rfam says of the family: Transfer RNA (tRNA) molecules are approximately 80 nucleotides in length. The record is from Rfam by way of RNAcentral. Lineage: Eukaryota; Metazoa; Chordata; Mammalia; Chiroptera; Vespertilionidae.
GCCGGUUUGGCUCAGUGGAUAGAGCGUUGGCCUGAAGGGUCAACUGUGGACUGAAGGGUCCCCAGUUCAAUUCUGGGCAGGGGCA